RNAcentral lists this ribosomal RNA (152 nucleotides) under uncultured bacterium. Its description in RNAcentral is "partial 16S ribosomal RNA". It matches the Rfam family "Bacterial small subunit ribosomal RNA", at positions 356 to 526 of the family's 1533-position model. The record is from RNAcentral.
UGCUGAUCUUCGAACUGCGCGAGCUGACGGAGCACGCCGCGUGAGGGAUGAAGGCCUCUGGGCUGUAAACCUCUUUUCUCAAGGAAGAAGAUCUGACGGUACUUGAGGAAUAAGCCACGGCUAAUUCCGUGCCAGCAGCCGCGGUAAUAUUC